Molecule: ribosomal RNA, 489 nt
Filed under: uncultured bacterium
Lineage: Bacteria
Description: bacterial SSU rRNA
Rfam family: Bacterial small subunit ribosomal RNA
Source: RNAcentral
AAUCAACGCUGGCGGCGUGCCUCAGACAUGCAAGUCGAACGAUUAAAGCUCUCUUCGGAGAGUGUAUAGAGUGGCGCACGGGUGAGUAACACGUAAGUAAUCUACCCUCGAGUGGGGAAUAACAACCGGAAACGGUUGCUAAUACCGCAUAAUGCAGCGGCACCGCAAGGUGACAGUUGUUAAAGAUUUAUCGCUUGAGGAGGAGCUUGCGGCAGAUUAGCUAGUUGGUAGGGUAACGGCUUAUCAAGGCUACGAUCUGUAACCGGUCUAAGAGGACGGUCGGUCACACUGACACUGAAUAACGGGUCAGACUCCUACGGGAGGCAGCAGUCGGGAAUUUUGGGCAAUGGGCGAAAGCCUGACCCAGCAACGCCGCGUGAAGGAUGAAGUAUUUCGGUAUGUAAACUUCGAAAGAAUAGGAAGAAUUAAUGACGGUACUAUUUAUAAGGUCCGGCUAACUACGUGCCAGCAGCCGCGGUAAUGUAUCGU